Rosa rugosa (rugosa rose) is the source of this 1238-nucleotide long non-coding RNA. RefSeq lists it as uncharacterized. Lineage: Eukaryota; Viridiplantae; Streptophyta; Magnoliopsida; Rosales; Rosaceae. The transcript has 2 exons. The record is from RefSeq and is a predicted model, not a curated record.
UCCCUAUUUUUUGCCAACUUGAGGGAUAGGCUCGCAGCCCUUGGGUCUGCGUUAAUGAGGUUCGACGGUUGAGAUUAAAUUAAGAUUUUGACCCCUUUCUCAGACCGGCAACCCGAAAACUGAAUCGGGUCAGUCAGUUUCUCUAUCUUCUCAUUCUUUCUGGCGAAUAACAGCGCUCGAACAACACUCGAGAGUUCUCCCAAUUCGCACCUCAUCACCAUAUAUUUCUUCAAAUUCUACAGAAAUCAGCUUGCGGUGGCUCUCCACCUAAAACAAAAACUUCUUACAUGGCUUGUGGGGACUCCUGUUCAGGUUUUUGCCCUUGAAAUUUUUCUUCUUCUAUAUUUAGUUUCACAGAUCGAUCUACAUAUGCUUGGAUUUCUGUAUAAUCAAUUCUAUCUGGGUUGGAUCAUUGGAAUCCAAAUUGGAAGCCGAAUUGGUGAUCUAUAUAUAUGUUUGGAUUUGUGUAUAAUCAAUAUAGUCUUCCUACCACAUGUCACUCUUGAUUGACUCAAUCUAGUAAAACAAAUGUAUAUAAUUAAUAUAGUUUUGUAUUUUCUAAAUUAGUAGUCUGAUUAUGUGCAGCCUCCUCCCCCUCCCACAAGUCAUCAAUUUCCUGGGAAGUUUAUUGUUGAUGCACUAUCACUGAAUUUUGUUUUGUCAAUUUCUAUAUAUAUUCGAGUUUAUAGGCUUUCUUUGGGAUACACAACUUAGUCAUAACCUGCAGGGACAAGUUCUCUACCUUACUUUGCUUCUGAAGAAUUUCAUUGUGGAUUUGUGUCGAAUACAUCCUUACUUUUGUAUAGUCAUUAUAUUAGACAUAGUUUUGUUUUCUGGGUUUCUAUGUGUUUGAAAACUGAUAACUCUUCAUCUAUUCUAAUUUCUAAGUAUUUUCAUGAGAUAUCAAAUACGCAGGUGAAGAAAGUAAGAAGAUGUAUCAAAGUAUUUGUAAAAUUGUCUGGGAGUUUGCAGUAGACAAUUUGGAGUUGCAUCGGAGUUGCUAGAAGUCCAUAUCUGAAAUCAUUAAGUAGUACAAUUCAUGUUUCUUUAUUGUGCAAUUUUACUCUCUAGUUGGCUACUGAUGCUCAUUGAUACAUGUGUUGAUUGAACCCGAUUCUAAAGUCAUUGUCACUUUGAUUGAUUAUGGUAUAUGGCUGCUCUGCAGCCUUUAAAGUCUAUGAUAAAAAAUUGUCACCCUUCCAAAGCUGUGAAAUCAAGCAACAAGGUUGCUAAUGUGU